GACGAACGCUGGCGGCGUGCUUAACACAUGCAAGUCGAACGCUGAAGCUCAGCUUGCUGGGUGGAUGAGUGGCGAACGGGUGAGUAACACGUGAGUAACCUGCCCUCUUCUUUGGGAUAACGCCCGGAAACGGGUGCUAAUACUGGAUAUUCACUGAUUCUCGCAUGGGGGUUGGUGGAAAGGUUUUUUCUGGUGGGGGAUGGGCUCGCGGCCUAUCAGCUUGUUGGUGGGGUGAUGGCCUACCAAGGCUUUGACGGGUAGCCGGCCGGAGAGGGUGACCGGUCACAUUGGGACUGAGAUACGGCCCAGACUCCUACGGGAGGCAGCAGUGGGGAAUAUUGCACAAUGGGCGAAAGCCUGAUGCAGCGACGCCGCGUGAGGGAUGGAGGCCUUCGGGUUGUAAACCUCUUUCGCUCAUGGUCAAGCCGCAGCUUUGGGUUGUGGUGAGGGUAGUGGGUAAAGAAGCGCCGGCUAACUACGUG
This 482-nucleotide ribosomal RNA is filed under the name uncultured bacterium. RNAcentral describes it as "partial 16S ribosomal RNA". It matches the Rfam family "Bacterial small subunit ribosomal RNA", at positions 28 to 507 of the family's 1533-position model. The record is from RNAcentral.